Molecule: non-coding RNA, 75 nt
Filed under: bovine gut metagenome
Description: S10-Clostridia ribosomal protein leader
Rfam family: S10-Clostridia ribosomal protein leader
Source: RNAcentral
CGAUGAAGCGGGAGGUUGCCGAAUGUAAUUCGGGUUUUUCCGUGGAGAAUGUCCGAUUCAUGAAACCGGGCGACA